GGCAACGUGGCGGAGUGGUUAUCGCGACAGCCUCGAAACAAUUUAGAUAGCUGUUUCCUUCGGGAGCGCAGGUUCGAAUCCUGCCGUUGUCG
Non-coding RNA from Fusarium irregulare, 92 nucleotides. The record is from the annotation of a GenBank genome assembly. Lineage: Eukaryota; Fungi; Ascomycota; Sordariomycetes; Hypocreales; Nectriaceae.